Molecule: long non-coding RNA, 1042 nt
Filed under: Canis lupus familiaris (dog)
Lineage: Eukaryota; Metazoa; Chordata; Mammalia; Carnivora; Canidae
Description: lncRNA (ENSCAFG00845002149.1)
Source: RNAcentral
AUAAAAGGAACAUAUCUCAACAUAGUAAAGGCUGUAUAUGACAAGCCCAUAACUAAUAUCAUACUCAUUGGUGGAAGUCUGAAAGCUUUUCCUCUAAGGUCAGAAAGAAGACAGAGGUGUGCCUUGACAUCACUCAUAUUUAACAUAGUACCGGAAGAGCAUUUAGGCAAGGAAAAGGAAGAAAAGGUAUCAGAAUAGGACUGGAGGAAGUAAAAUUGUCUAUAUUUGCAGAUGAUAAUUUUAUAUAGAGAAAAUCCUAUAGACUCCACCGAAAUAUUGUUAAAGUUAAACAAAGAUUUCAGGAAAGUUGCAGGAUACAAAGUUAGCAUUUUGAUAAACUAAAAACAAAUUUUCAAAAAUAAAACUCUGCUAUACACAGCAUCAAAAACAGUAAAAUACCUAGGAAUAAAUUUAACCAAAGAGAUGAAAUGUUUUUUUACUGAAAACUGUUAAGACACUGAUGACAGAAAUUGAAAAAAAAAAAAAACCCACAAAUGAAUGGAAAGGCAUUCAUUCCAUUCAUACAAGCAUGAAUUGAUACAAGCAUGAAUAUUUUUGUCUUCCAUAGUAAUCGAAGCCAUCUAUAAAUUCAGUGCAAUUCCUAUCAAGAUCCCAAAGGAAAUUGAAACAGAAAAAAAAAUUAUCCUAAAAUUUUAUAUGGAGCAGCUAAACACCCUGAAUAACAAAAGCAAUACUGUGGGGGGUUCACACUUCCUGAUUUCAAGCCAUGUUAUAAAGCUAAGAUGAUCAAAAUAGUAUGGUAGUAGCAUAACAAAGACAUAGAAAUAAAUUAAGAGCUCAGAUGUAAACCCAUGCCUAUACAGUCAACUAAUAUUUGACAGGGGAGCCACGAAUAGUCCAUGGAGAAAAGACAGUCUCUUCAAAAAGUGCUGGGAAAAUUGGACAUUCAAGGGUAAAAGAAUGAAACAACCCCUAUAUUACACUGCUCAUGAAGAUGAACUCAAAAUGGAUUAAAGACUUAAAUGCAAGACCAGAUACCAUACAAUUCCUAGAAGAGGAUUUAAAAGUUAAAAAAAAAAAA